AGCGGCGGCCAGGAGGGUCCGCGGCUCAGCGCAGGGGGCCGAGGCCCGGAGGGCGGCCCCUCGCCGUCAGCGCUGCGACCGGGACGUCCACCUGCCGGCCCCCCGAGCCCCCGUGGGGUCCCCCGUGGGCCCCCGGGACCGCGGACAGCGCUGCCCGAGCCUCCCUGGCCGCCCGCCGGCCUCCCCGCGUCCCCAGGUUCCAUUCUGUUACAGGCCAUUGCAGAGUACUGUGUAGAGUUCCCUGUGCCAGACGUACAAGGACUUGUCUGCAAUCACACCAUGGUACCGAAAUGUGAAAACCGAUUCUACUCACAGAGCCAAAGAAUGAAUUCUGCAAACUCGCAAACUCUCACAGAGCCAAAGAAUGAAUUCUGCAAACUCGCAACCUCUCACACAGGUAUGAGAAGAUAUAAGAAUCAGGGCUCAUAAAAAUUUCCUCCCAAAACUGCCCACUUGAUUUCACAUUUCAGGAUGUCUGGCUCUAGGUUUCGUGGUGACCCAAGGAGGAAAGAGCAGAUGAAACCAAGGAGGGUCUUGGAAGCGGGACUGGAAAGACCAGACCCUGUUUUCCCUCCCUCCCCCAUGCUGUAACUGUUAUUGGAUCUCAGGGCCUCCUGACCUGCGGAACCUGUCUCCCCUCCUACCCCACAGGGAGAAGGCAUUUGCCUUACUCUUCCCCACCCAGUCUACGUGCCUCAUCCAAUCAGCAAACGACCUGCGAGGCCCCUGUCCCACUCCUUGUACCCUGGCUAUAGAAGCGGACUAAGGACCCCGAUCGACGUCGGUUCUCCCUUGAGCUGGCCCACUGUUCCAACAGGGUCUCCCACUCUAAAACUUGACUCCCUUCUUAUUCUGUCUCAUGUCUGGAAAUUCUUUUCCAACCUGCGCCCAGACCACAACAGGUUUGCCUGAGGGAGCAAUUCCAGCGGUUUGAAUUUUAUACUUGUCACUUUUUUUUCCCCUUGGUUUUAGGUCUUGUCUGAUUGAGUUAAUCAGGCUCAGUCUCAGAUCCUUGUGGCCUGUAUUUAUAUUUUGGUUUUAAGAUUUCCAAGAGAAAGUUGUUUGUAGUUCCCCAAAGAACUGGUCUGUCACCUGAAAGAUUUUAUCAGUGACAAGAUUUCUAAUUAGACUGAAAUUUAUUUUAUGAGUUUUAUGUUUUAUGAUUUUACA
This is a long non-coding RNA of Bos taurus (domestic cattle), 1170 nucleotides long. Lineage: Eukaryota; Metazoa; Chordata; Mammalia; Artiodactyla; Bovidae. The record is from Ensembl.